UGGCGCGUCGUCUAAUGGCAGGACACUGGUUUUUGGUACCAGACGUUGUAGGUUCGAAUCCUACCGCGCCAGCCA
RNAcentral lists this transfer RNA (75 nucleotides) under Myxococcota bacterium. RNAcentral describes it as "tRNA-Gln". It matches the Rfam family "tRNA". Rfam says of the family: Transfer RNA (tRNA) molecules are approximately 80 nucleotides in length. Their secondary structure includes four short double-helical elements and three loops (D, anti-codon, and T loops). The record is from RNAcentral. Lineage: Bacteria; Pseudomonadati; Myxococcota.